RNAcentral lists this long non-coding RNA (363 nucleotides) under Numida meleagris (helmeted guineafowl). Its description in RNAcentral is "lncRNA (ENSNMEG00000021403.1)". The record is from RNAcentral. Lineage: Eukaryota; Metazoa; Chordata; Aves; Galliformes; Numididae.
CAGGUCUGCUUUCUUAUAUUCAGUCCAAGAGGACAUGUAGUCCGUAAAGAAGUGGAAGUGAUACAGUUACUCUUCACUUACACAGAAUUCCUCAAAAUAUCACCAGUGACAUCACACUACCAAAGAAAAGACAGUAUGAUGGAUGCUACUCUUCUAUGACAAGAAUUUUAACAGCCCUUCUUCAGCACUCAAUGCACACCCAAUUAUGCGUCUGAGCUAGUAACCUUGAAUUUAUGUUGCCAUGGCGACAAACUGGUCAUGCAUUAUGGAUUAUCAUUGAAAUUCUACACCCCUACCUAGCAUAAUGAGAGUUGGGGACUUAAUCAAAUCAGCCAUUCUGUGUGACACAAAGUGAAGAACUAG